This 503-nucleotide ribosomal RNA is filed under the name uncultured Verrucomicrobiota bacterium. RNAcentral's name for it is "bacterial SSU rRNA". It matches the Rfam family "Bacterial small subunit ribosomal RNA", at positions 80 to 565 of the family's 1533-position model. The record is from RNAcentral. Lineage: Bacteria; Pseudomonadati; Verrucomicrobiota.
UAUUCUGUGUUAGCAGUGGCGUAAGGGUGCUUAACACGUGGGUAAUCUGCCGCGAAGUGUGGGAUAACUCGCUGAAAGGCGAGCUAAUACCGCAUGUGAUUUUCCUGAGGCAUCUCAGGGAAUUCAAACAUGGGUCGCAAGACCUGUGGUUUCGCGAUGAGCCCGCGGCCUAUCAGCUAGUUGGCGGGGUAAAAGCCCACCAAGGCUAAGACGGGUAGCUGGUCUGGGAGGACGACCAGCCACACUGGAACUGAGACACGGUCCAGACACCUACGGGUGGCAGCAGUCGAGAAUUUUUCACAAUGGGGGAAACCCUGAUGGAGCGACGCCGCGUGGGGGAUGAAGGGCUUCGGUUCGUAAACCCCUGUCAUUGGCGAACAAGUGUUACGUUAUAAUACAGCGUGACUUGAUAGUAGCCGAAGAGGAAGGGACGGCUAACUCUGUGCCAGCAGCCGCGGUAAUACAGAGGUCCCGAGCGUUGUUCGGAUUCACUGGGCGUAAAG